AGAGUUUGAUCAUGGCUCAGAUUGAACGCUGGCGGAAUGCUUUACACAUGCAAGUCGAACGGCAGCACGGGGCAACCUGGUGGCGAGUGGCGAACGGGUGAGUAAUACAUCGGAACGUGCCCAAUCGUGGGGAUAACGUAGCGAAAGUUACGCUAAUACCGCAUACGAUCUACGGAUGAAAGCGGGGGAUCGCAAGACCUCGCGCGAAUGGAGCGGCCGAUGUCAGAUUAGGUAGUUGGUGGGGUAAAGGCUCACCAAGCCGACGAUCUGUAGCUGGUCUGAGAGGACGACCAGCCACACUGGGACUGAGACACGGCCCAGACUCCUACGGGAGGCAGCAGUGGGGAAUUUUGGACAAUGGGCGCAAGCCUGAUCCAGCCAUUCCGCGUGCAGGAUGAAGGCCUUCGGUUGUAAACUGCUUUUGUACGGAACGAAACGGUUCUCUCUAAUACAGGGGGCUAAUGACGGUACCGUAAGAAUAAGCACCGGCUAACUACGUG
This 500-nucleotide ribosomal RNA is filed under the name uncultured bacterium. Its description in RNAcentral is "bacterial SSU rRNA". It matches the Rfam family "Bacterial small subunit ribosomal RNA", at positions 8 to 507 of the family's 1533-position model. The record is from RNAcentral.